GACGAACGCUGGCGGCGUGCUUAACACAUGCAAGUCGAACGGAAAGGCCCUGCUUUUGUGGGGUGCUCGAGUGGCGAACGGGUGAGUAACACGUGAGUAACCUGCCCUUGACUUUGGGAUAACUUCAGGAAACUGGGGCUAAUACCGGAUAGGAGCUCCUGCUGCAUGGUGGGGGUUGGAAAGUUUCGGCGGUUGGGGAUGGACUCGCGGCUUAUCAGCUUGUUGGUGGGGUAGUGGCUUACCAAGGCCUUGACGGGUAGCCGGCCUGAGAGGGUGACCGGCGACAUUGGGACUGAGAUACGGCCCAGACUCCUACGGGAGGCAGCAGUGGGGAAUAUUGCACAGUGGGCGGAAGCCUGAUGAAGCAACGCCGCGUGCGGGAUGCCGGCCUUCGGGUUGUAAACCGCUUUCGCCUGUGACGAAGCGUGAGUGACGGUAAUGGGUAAAGAAGCACCGGCUAACUACGUG
RNAcentral lists this ribosomal RNA (468 nucleotides) under uncultured bacterium. Its description in RNAcentral is "partial 16S ribosomal RNA". It matches the Rfam family "Bacterial small subunit ribosomal RNA", at positions 28 to 507 of the family's 1533-position model. The record is from RNAcentral.